GUUGUUUUAUCAGUGCAUAUACUAAAACUGUAAUGAUACAGAGAUGAUUAGCAUGGCCCUUGCACAAGGAUGACACACACAUUUGUGAAGUGUUCUACAUUUUU
Protopterus annectens (West African lungfish) is the source of this 104-nucleotide small nuclear RNA. The record is from RefSeq and is a predicted model, not a curated record. Lineage: Eukaryota; Metazoa; Chordata; Ceratodontiformes; Protopteridae.